AGAGUUUGAUCAUGGCUCAGGACGAACGCUGGCGGCGUGCUUAACACAUGCAAGUCGAACGAUGAAGCUCCAGCUUGCUGGGGUGGAUUAGUGGCGAACGGGUGAGUAAUACGUGAGUAACCUGCCCCCUUCUUCGGGAUAAGCCUUGGAAACGGGGUCUAAUACUGGAUAUUCUGCACUGGACGCAUGUUUGGUGUUGGAAAGGGUUUCUGGUGGGGGAUGGGCUCACGGCCUAUCAGCUGGUUGGUGGGGUGAUGGCCUACCAAGGCGUCGACGGGUAGCCGGCCUGAGAGGGUGACCGGCCACAUUGGGACUGAGAUACGGCCCAGACUCCUACGGGAGGCAGCAGUGGGGAAUAUUGCACAAUGGACGCAAGUCUGAUACAGCGACGCCGCGUGGGGGAUGAAGGCUUUCGGGUUGUAAACUCCUUUUAACACUGAACAAGGCGUUUUUGUUGAGGGUAGGUGUUGAAUAAGCGCCGGCUAACUACGUGCCAGCAGCCGCGGUAAUACGUAGGGCGCGAGCGUUGUCCGGAAUUAUUGGGCGUAAAGAGCUCGUAGGCGGUUUGUCGCGUCUGCUGUGAAAGACCGGGGCUUAACUCCGGGGCUGCAGUGGGUACGGGCAGACUAGAGUGCGGUAGGGGUAAUUGGAAUUCCUGGUGUAGCGGUGGAAUGCGCAGAUAUCAGGAGGAACACCGAUGGCGAAGGCAGGUUACUGGGCCGUUACUGACGCUGAGGAGCGAAAGCAUGGGGGAGCGAACAGGAUUAGAUACCCUGGUAGUCCAUGCCGUAAACGUUGGGGCACUAGGUGUGGGGGCCUAUUUCCAUGGGUUUCUGUACCGUAGCUAACGCAUUAAGUGCCCCGCCUGG
This 869-nucleotide ribosomal RNA is filed under the name uncultured bacterium. RNAcentral's name for it is "bacterial SSU rRNA". It matches the Rfam family "Bacterial small subunit ribosomal RNA", at positions 9 to 873 of the family's 1533-position model. The record is from RNAcentral.